Molecule: ribosomal RNA, 253 nt
Filed under: uncultured bacterium
Lineage: Bacteria
Description: partial 16S ribosomal RNA
Rfam family: Bacterial small subunit ribosomal RNA
Source: RNAcentral
UACGUAGGGGGCAAGCGUUGUCCGGAAUCAUUGGGCGUAAAGAGCGUGUAGGUGGCCCGGUCAGUCCGCCGUGAAAGUCCAGGGCUCAACCCUGGAAUGCCGGUGGAUACUGCCGGGCUGGAGUCCGGAAGAGGCGAGUGGAAUUCCUGGUGUAGCGGUGAAAUGCGCAGAUAUCAGGAGGAACACCAAUGGCGAAGGCAGCUCGCUGGGACGGUACUGACGCUAAGGCGCGAAAGCGUGGGGAGCGAACAGG